This 253-nucleotide ribosomal RNA is filed under the name uncultured bacterium. RNAcentral's name for it is "partial 16S ribosomal RNA". It matches the Rfam family "Bacterial small subunit ribosomal RNA", at positions 524 to 776 of the family's 1533-position model. The record is from RNAcentral.
UACAGAGGUCUCGAGCGUUGUUCGGAUUCAUUGGGCGUAAAGGGCGCGUAGGCGGCGGGGUAAGUCUGGUGUGAAAUCUAGGAGCUCAACUCCUAAACUGCACUGGAUACUGCUCUGCUAGAGGACUGGAGAGGAGACUGGAAUUCACGGUGUAGCAGUGAAAUGCGCAGAUAUCGGGAGGAACACCGGUGGCGAAGGCGGUUCUCUGGGCCUGUGCUGACGCUGAGGAGCGAAAGCGUGGGGAGCGAACAGG